AGAGUUUGAUCCUGGCUCAGAUUGAACGCUGGCGGCAUGCCUUACACAUGCAAGUCGAACGGCAGCACGGGAGCAAUCCUGGUGGCGAGUGGCGAACGGGUGAGUAAUAUAUCGGAACGUGCCCAGUCGUGGGGGAUAACGCAGCGAAAGCUGUGCUAAUACCGCAUACGAUCUAUGGAUGAAAGCGGGGGAUCGCAAGACCUCGCGCGAUUGGAGCGGCCGAUAUCAGAUUAGCUAGUUGGUGGGGUAAAAGCCUACCAAGGCGACGAUCUGUAGCUGGUCUGAGAGGACGACCAGCCACACUGGAACUGAGACACGGUCCAGACUCCUACGGGAGGCAGCAGUGGGGAAUUUUGGACAAUGGGCGCAAGCCUGAUCCAGCAAUGCCGCGUGCAGGAUGAAGGCCUUCGGGUUGUAAACUGCUUUUGUACGGAACGAAACGGUUCUCUCUAAUACAGGGGGCUAAUGACGGUACCGUAAGAAUAAGCACCGGCUAACUACGUGCCAGCAGCCGCGGUAAUACGUAGGGUGCGAGCGUUAAUCGGAAUUACUGGGCGUAAAGCGUGCGCAGGCGGUGAUGUAAGACAGAUGUGAAAUCCCCGGGCUCAACCUGGGACCUGCAUUUGUGACUGCAUCGCUGGAGUGCGGCAGAGGGGGAUGGAAUUCCGCGUGUAGCAGUGAAAUGCGUAGAUAUGCGGAGGAACACCGAUGGCGAAGGCAAUCCCCUGGGCCUGCACUGACGCUCAUGCACGGAAGCGUGGGGAGCAAACAGGAUUAGAUACCCUGGUAGUCCACGCCCUAAACGAUGUCAACUGGUUGUUGGGUCUUCACUGACUCAGUACGAA
RNAcentral lists this ribosomal RNA (845 nucleotides) under uncultured bacterium. Its description in RNAcentral is "bacterial SSU rRNA". It matches the Rfam family "Bacterial small subunit ribosomal RNA", at positions 8 to 850 of the family's 1533-position model. The record is from RNAcentral.